GAUGAACGCUGGCGGCGUGCCUAAUACAUGCAAGUCGAGCGAACAGACGAGGAGCUUGCUCCUCUGACGUUAGCGGCGGACGGGUGAGUAACACGUGGAUAACCUACCUAUAAGACUGGGAUAACUUCGGGAAACCGGAGCUAAUACCGGAUAAUAUAUUGAACCGCAUGGUUCAAUAGUGAAAGACGGUUUUGCUGUCACUUAUAGAUGGAUCCGCGCCGCAUUAGCUAGUUGGUAAGGUAACGGCUUACCAAGGCAACGAUGCGUAGCCGACCUGAGAGGGUGAUCGGCCACACUGGAACUGAGACACGGUCCAGACUCCUACGGGAGGCAGCAGUAGGGAAUCUUCCGCGAUGGGCGAGAGCCUGACGGAGCAACGCCGCGUGAGUGAUGAAGGUCUUCGGAUCGUAAAGCGCUGUUAUUAGGGAAGAACAAAUGUGUAAGUAACUAUGCACGUCUUGACGGUACCGAAUCAGAAAGCCACGGCUAACUACGUG
RNAcentral lists this ribosomal RNA (497 nucleotides) under uncultured bacterium. RNAcentral describes it as "partial 16S ribosomal RNA". It matches the Rfam family "Bacterial small subunit ribosomal RNA", at positions 28 to 507 of the family's 1533-position model. The record is from RNAcentral.